Molecule: ribosomal RNA, 427 nt
Filed under: uncultured bacterium
Lineage: Bacteria
Description: bacterial SSU rRNA
Rfam family: Bacterial small subunit ribosomal RNA
Source: RNAcentral
UGGGGAAUUUUGGACAAUGGGCGCAAGCCUGAUCCAGCCAUGCCGCGUGAGUGAAGAAGGCCUUCGGGUUGUAAAGCUCUUUCGGACGGGAAGAAAUGGCAAGCUCUAACAUAGCCUGUCGAUGACGGUACCGUAAGAAGAAGCACCGGCUAACUACGUGCCAGCAGCCGCGGUAAUACGUAGGGUGCGAGCGUUAAUCGGAAUUACUGGGCGUAAAGCGUGCGCAGGCGGUUUUGUAAGACAGAUGUGAAAUCCCCGGGCUUAACCUGGGAACUGCGUUUGUGACUGCAAGGCUGGAGUACGGCAGAGGGGGGUGGAAUUCCACGUGUAGCAGUGAAAUGCGUAGAGAUGUGGAGGAACACCGAUGGCGAAGGCAGCCCCCUGGGCCUGUACUGACGCUCAUGCACGAAAGCGUGGGGAGCAAACA